Molecule: long non-coding RNA, 376 nt
Filed under: Hordeum vulgare
Lineage: Eukaryota; Viridiplantae; Streptophyta; Magnoliopsida; Poales; Poaceae
Description: long non-coding RNA (HVUL_LNC007046)
Source: RNAcentral
AAGAACCUCCAAAAGAUGGGCAUUUUGAUGCCUUGUGGCCCUUACCUCUACAAAGUGAGCAAAACUUUGUUCUUGGCUUGCUGACAUUCUCAUAAACAGGCUUUGCUCUUGCAUUGGUUGGUCGGCCUCAAUCCCGCUUCCUUGAUAUAACAUUCAUUGAGCUGGCCAAACCUGUUCUUCCUGGUGUGAUAGGCAUGGCACUCCCACUUAGUUCAGCCGCUGUCUGAUCUUGUAACCCGAGGCCAUCACUCUCCUGGUUUGUAUCCUUCAGGACAUCUAUUGCAUCUAGCAAGUGCUUCAUUGCAGCUCCAUAAGCUUCAGUAUUCUUAUCCCCCAUCUUUACAAUCUCAAGUGCCUUACUAUACAAGUGGGAAUG